UACGUAGGGUGCAAGCGUUAAUCGGAAUUACUGGGCGUAAAGCGUGCGCAGGCGGUUUUGUAAGUCUGUCGUGAAAGCCCCGGGCUCAACCUGGGAAUUGCGAUGGAGACUGCAAGGCUUGAAUCUGGUAGAGGGGGGUAGAAUUCCACGUGUAGCAGUGAAAUGCGUAGAGAUGUGGAGGAACACCGGUGGCGAAGGCGGCAUCCUGGACCGGUAUUGACGCUGAGGCGCGAAAGCUAGGGUAGCAAACGGG
This 253-nucleotide ribosomal RNA is filed under the name uncultured bacterium. Its description in RNAcentral is "partial 16S ribosomal RNA". It matches the Rfam family "Bacterial small subunit ribosomal RNA", at positions 524 to 776 of the family's 1533-position model. The record is from RNAcentral.